This 1135-nucleotide long non-coding RNA is filed under the name Ananas comosus (pineapple). RNAcentral's name for it is "long non-coding RNA (ACOM_LNC038481)". Lineage: Eukaryota; Viridiplantae; Streptophyta; Magnoliopsida; Poales; Bromeliaceae. The record is from RNAcentral.
UGUCACGCCCGGGUACCCGCGGAAGCAUAUCCGGUACGUGCACAGACCCGCCAUACACCUGCAGUAUAUAAGGCGUCUACAAAAAGCAAGUCGAUAGGAAGAAGCAUAGUAUAAUCCUAUCCUGAUAUCAGAGCAAAGUACAAGUCGAUAUACUAUCAGCAAAAGAACAAAGAGUGUACAAUCCAAAAUCUCGACUAAAAGAGAAAGUAUCAUAACCAUAGUGACUGUCCACAAAGUACAUAUACAUCACGGGGUAUACAAAAGAAUAGGUACAAUGGUGGUCGCUCUAUACAUAGGGACAUCACCCUCGGCCGUAGCCCGAGUAGCAAGGUGAUCGACUAGCAUGCUCCUAGCAAUGUCUAGCUAGACGCGACUCCCUUGUCACGAUCCCUAGCCUCUCCUGUAGAUGGCUCUGUAAAAACAACCACCAAAAGGGCGUGAGAACUAUAAACAAUAGUUCCCAGUGGGUAAGCCGCCAGCCUCGGCGAAUUACACCACUAGGCUCAUGAUGUACUAAAAGGAAGAAAAGCAGUAACUGCAUGAUAUAUAUUUAAUUAUGCAAUGCUAACAGGUAAUGAGCAUGUAAGGAACAUGUAAUCAUAAUCUCAACAGUAAUGAUUCAACUGAAUAAUAGAAGCAUAGCAACUACUAUAAGCAUGAACAUAAGCAUAAAUGUGUAAGUAACUACUGUACACUGUAACUGGUAAUCAUUCAUUACUGUCCAAUUUUCUUUAGCACUUUCCUUUAAUUCACAGGGAUCUACUCAAAGUAGUCCAGCUUGCGCCGCGCCUAAUGGCCCCGUGGCAGUGUACACUCCCCACGGCAAUCCACUUCGGCACCCAAUCUCGCACGGGCGAGCAACUGUCGCGUAGGCCAACUCCGGAGUGCCGGCUUGUAGGGAGCGACCCUCACAAGCGUGUGCGAAUGAGCACGAUGGCAAGCAAGCAUAUUCCACUGUCCACAUGUCCCAAUUAUCAUAUUUUCAUUUGCAAUAUUCUCAGUCUCGAUCCUCGAUCGGAAUUUCAAUAUAACAAAUAUUAACAACAACUAGAAUCCACUAGUUUAGUAAGCAUGCAAGGGUAAUGCUAAUUUACACAUGGCAUUAGAAUCUUUUCACUAUCAUGGCACUACCAAC